CCUACGGGAGGCAGCAGUGAGGAAUAUUGGUCAAUGGGCGGAAGCCUGAACCAGCCAAGUCGCGUGAGGGAAUAAGGCCCUACGGGUCGUAAACCUCUUUUGCCGGGGAGCAAGGGCGGGGACGUGUCCCGGCCCGGAGAGUACCCGGAGAAAAAGCAUCGGCUAACUACGUGCCAGCCGCCGCGGUAAUACGUAGGGGGCAAGCGUUAUCCGGAUUUACUGGGUGUAAAGGGAGCGUAGACGGCUGUGCAAGUCUGAAGUGAAAGCCCAGGGCUCAACCCUGGGACUGCUUUGGAAACUGUGGAGCUAGAGUGCUGGAGAGGUAAGUGGAAUUCCUAGUGUAGCGGUGAAAUGCGUAGAUAUUAGGAGGAACACCAGUGGCGAAGGCGGCUUACUGGACAGUAACUGACGUUGAGGCUCGAAAGCGUGGGGAGCAAACAGGAUUAGAUACCCUGGUAGUC
Molecule: ribosomal RNA, 461 nt
Filed under: uncultured bacterium
Lineage: Bacteria
Description: partial 16S ribosomal RNA
Rfam family: Bacterial small subunit ribosomal RNA
Source: RNAcentral